GUGUAAUGUGUGCCUGUGUCCCUCUGCGAAUGCUUGCUUGUACCUUUUUAUGUGUGUGUGUAUUUGGGUGUGCAUGUGUGCGCUGUGUGUGCAUGUGUUGCUGUGUGCUGCUGUGUGGGCGUGGGCGUGUUCGUGAUCAAUGUGUGGGUGCGUGUGUGCCUGUCUGUAGUAUCUUUGUGUGCUUCUGUGUAUUGUGUGCACCUGGGCAUGUCAGUGUGCGAAUGUGUAAUCCUCUGUGAGUGUGUGUGCAUACAUGGCUUGAGCAUGCAUUUUUUUUCUAUGUAUGUGUGUGUAACUGCAUGUGUUCUGACAUCUGUGGACAUAUGCGUAACUUAGUGUGAACACAUGCUUUUGUCUUGCACAUGCGUGUAUGUGUGCAUGUGUGUACACAUGCAUGCUUAUGUAUGAGUGCACAGAUAUACUCUUAAGAGGAUUGGUGGUAUACAUGAAUGUGUGAGCUUGGAAGUUUGGUGGGCACUCAAGAAGCAUGAGUAUUUGUGUGUGCCACCAUCCCAGGGUUUUGCAUUUGUCCAUACUACACAGUGGUGUGUUUUUUGUAUGUGUAUGGAGUGUGUGCAUGCAGAAAUGUAUGCCCUGAUUCAGAACUGUUGUGAACAGGCACUUGGAUGUGGAGUGAAGCUUUCUCUAUGUAUUUGUAGGUGCAUAUAUGAAUUUGUAUGAACAUGUAUUUAUCUGCAUAUGGAUUAUAUAUGUCCAGUAGUACAGCAGAGCCAUAGGAAUAGAACUAGAGGAACAUGGAAGAGUCAUGAUUCAUUCCUAAGGCAUUCAAUCCUAAGAUGUGAAAGAGGAAAUUUGCAUUACAAGUGUUCACCCGUGGUUACAAGGGGAGUAGUAUGUGCCUGUCCUCCACCCUCAUUUACUUCCCUGCUCUGUUUCAGUGGGACCAUCAGCCUUUAUUAGAGACUGGCCUCACAAAUGGCUUCCUGUACUUGUCUUUCUAACUGCAAGACUGUGUGUAGCUGCUGUGGGGACAAAUUCUACAAACAGCUUUGUCUUGCUCCCAUGUCAGCAUUUCUCUGAGUUGUUUAUAACCCUGAAGCCUGGGCUGUGUGUCCUGUCUCCUACCAUGCCAUCCAUGCUUGUACUUCUGCUUCUACAGUCACAGUGUACAAGUAUAAGUAAAAAUAAAACAGAAUAUAGCACCACUCACUAGAAAAGCAGAUGUUAUAUAAAAAAAAAAAAAUAAAAAAAAAAGUCCAGGCAAGCUGAUGCAAGUGACAUGAAGUAAACCUUGCAAACACUAAUCCUGAGGCUCUGAGAGUAAGUACACAACUACAGUCUGUUACUACCAAUGACGUUCCUGUGCAUACUGGGCUACUGGGGUAAAAAGUCCUAUGCAAACAUAAAUUACAAACCAUACCUGAUAGUAUUCAAGGUAAAAUCAAUUUCAAAGUUAACAAAGGAGACAGAAAACCUGGAAACACUGAACAACAGUGCUCAUGGACCAACCCUGGAGACCCUCAUGGAGAGAGUCGAACUACUGGCAAUUGGGAAUAUGAUGAUUUACUGUGAUGCCCUGCUGUACUUUUAUAACUAUUGUAUUCCGAUUCAUAUUGUAAUGGCACUGAGUAUAAAUUCUAGACAUCUCACAUAAAGUAUGUUCUUUUCAUGCAUUUAAUGAUGUUUUGAGUGCAACACUCAUUUUUUCAAACAAGAAAAAGAAAAUAUUGAUCAUUUAUUUGACUGGAUUUUUUCAGUGAUUAUUCUAUCAUUUUUAGUGCUUACUACAUCAAAAACCUUUUGCAGCAUCUUUCUAAGUCUGCAAUAAUAAGUAAGAUUUAAUCAUAAUCUACUACUUCCAAGUAAGAAUUAGUAUUCAUCAGCUGUUGGGACCUAGUUUUUGACACUUUGAAUUCAACCAUCUAGAGAACACAACCAAUCUCUGAAUUCAGCUCUGUAUUUGUGCUCUGUCUUAUUAUAAACUAAGUUGAAUUAUAUAUUUUAUAUGUAUCCUACUGUACAGUGUGGAAGUCAGAAAUGAUGCCUUCUUAAGGAAUUAUUUUCAGUUGAUUUUGUCAUGUUUGCCUUCAUAAGAAGAAAUAUAAUCAGCAAAUUAAUUGAGAGAUGUCCAAAAUAAAAUAUUUUUAAAUUUGUGCAUUGUCUGAUUACACCUUGAAAGUCUAAAGCAAGGAAGAUCAAAUACAAACACCAGAGGCCACAGAAUAACACUAGUAAGAGACAAUUACUACAUCAAGAGACAGCAUUGAUUAUUACAUUUGCCUUCACUUUUAUAAAUUAGUCUCCUUCAUUUUAUAUAUAUUUAUCUUACGUACAAAAAAGUGAAAUGGAAAAUUAAGAUUGAAUACAACUGUCUGUGGAGAAGGUUGGGCAGAGAGGUUGUAAACUUUUCCUCCAUGGAAGAUUUCUAGGCCAGGCCUGGGCUGUUUGAUCUGAUCCUGUGGCUGGUCCUGUCCUGCGAAUGAGGAUGUGCUGGAUAUCUCCAGAGGUCCUUUCCAGUCCCAGCAGGAAACAUACUGGAGCAAGGCAGGCUACUGGGCAAGAAGGGAAAACAGAUUUCAGUCUCUCUGUCAUCAUGUGGGCAGAUGCUUAUUGUGUGGUGGUUCUCUUUAGCCUAUACAUGAUAUAUCAGUUCAGUCUGUAACCUCCUUGAAACAUGGAAUGUGCCUGUUGCCAUUGCACAUCUCCUAGUUUGAUGGGACUAAGAAGCAGGGACUAUUACAAACCAAAUGAAUACAAUACAUUGUUAAGCAGAUAUUAAAUGACUAUUUGGGGAAUAAAUGUUUUUGCAUUGUGAUUCAUAGCAAAUUCUGCCUGUACAAAGUUGUGGUUAUUCCCUCCCAGUUGUAGGACUGUACAUUUGAUCUCGUUGAACCUCAUAAUGUUCCUCUCUACCCAACACUCACCUUGUCCAGGUCCCACUGAAUGGUAUCACAGCCUUCUGGCAUGUUGGACGUUCUUCCCAACUUUGCAUCAUCAGCAAAUUUGCUGAGGGUGCACUCUAUCUUUUCAUCCAGGUCAUUGAUGAAUAUUGUUGAUGUUGUAAUUCAUAAACAAUAUUAUACAUGUGACACAUACAAACUUCCCUCUUUUAGUUUGGAAACGGUUUGACUCUCGUUCAUGGACUGGUAUACUGGCUUUGUAUUCCUGCAGUGCCUGAUUGUUAUCAAAAGAUUUAGAUUGCUUUAUCUCUUAUUUCCACCUAUAUAAACCUUUAUGCUUCUUUUCUUUUUGUCUGCUGGCUGUUACACAGUGCUCAAUGAUGGUACUCUGGUAGGUUAUUUGAUGUAUAGCAGGUGGUUUGGUUUCCAGGUUGUACUUUUGAGUCUGCUUUUCAAUAGUUAUUCACCAUUAAAUGCAACUGAAUAAGA
Molecule: long non-coding RNA, 3350 nt
Filed under: Gallus gallus (chicken)
Lineage: Eukaryota; Metazoa; Chordata; Aves; Galliformes; Phasianidae
Description: lncRNA (ENSGALG00010009878.1)
Source: RNAcentral